Molecule: ribosomal RNA, 406 nt
Filed under: uncultured bacterium
Lineage: Bacteria
Description: partial 16S ribosomal RNA
Rfam family: Bacterial small subunit ribosomal RNA
Source: RNAcentral
AUUGAACGCUGGCGGCAGGCCUAACACAUGCAAGUCGAGCGCGCGGCGCACGGGUGAGGAAUGUCUGGGAAACUGUCUGCUGGAGGGGGAUAACUAUUGGAAACGGUAUCUCAUAUCGCACACAAUCAGAUGUGCCCCGGUGGGAUUAGCUCGUAGGUGGGGUAACGGCUCACCCAGGCGACGAUCCCUAGCUGGUCUGAGAGGAUGAUCAGCAACACUGGGACGGAGACACGGUCCAGACUCCGACGGGAGGCAGCAGUGGGGAAUAUUGCACAAUGGGCGCAAGCCUGAUGCAGCCAUGCCGCGUGUGUGAAGAAGGCCUGCGGGUUGUAAAGCACUUUCAGCGGGGAGGCGUUACCCGAAGAAGAAGCACCGGCUAACUCCGUGCCAGCAGCCGCGGUAAUUC